CCAACGUGGAUAUCCUGGGAGGUCACCCCCAGGCUCUGUCCAGGCGGCACAAGGGAGCACAGGGCUCUGCCCCAUGAUGUACGGUCCCUUCCCGCAGCGUUGGAAAGAAAGCUGGGCCUUGGGUCUGCGCCUGCAUAUUCCUACAGCUUCUCAGAGUCCUUUGGACAAUGACUGAGGGGACAAACCAUGCAGGAAACAGUC
This is a small nucleolar RNA of Ochotona curzoniae (black-lipped pika), 201 nucleotides long. RefSeq annotates it as small nucleolar RNA SNORA73 family. The record is from RefSeq and is a predicted model, not a curated record. The transcript has a single exon. Lineage: Eukaryota; Metazoa; Chordata; Mammalia; Lagomorpha; Ochotonidae.